GGGGGCGACACGGAUUCGACGUGGGUGCUGAAGCAUCAGGAGCAUUCCGGGGCGCAUGUGGACCUCGUUAAAAACAUGCAAAAUGAUAGUUGCUACAAACAACUUCGCACUUGCAGCUUAAUUGACUGCACGCUUUUCAGAGGAAUGAUAUCGGCCUCUGAUGAGUGUCACUUUAGAUAUCUCGGUUCGCAUUGUUCUCUCCGGGGUGCGAACUUAAAUGUAACUGGGGGGAGGGCUGUAUGAACUUUGUUUGUGGAGGUCACACAGCUUACUUAAAUCACAAACUAUGAAUGUAGGGCCUGACUGUGGAUCACUUGCGGACGGGGGUUCAAUUCCCCCCGCCUCCACUU
Molecule: transfer-messenger RNA, 350 nt
Filed under: Bdellovibrio sp.
Lineage: Bacteria; Pseudomonadati; Bdellovibrionota; Bdellovibrionia; Bdellovibrionales; Pseudobdellovibrionaceae
Also listed under: 1 other name
Rfam family: transfer-messenger RNA
About the family: Bacterial tmRNA, also known as 10Sa RNA or SsrA, is named for its dual tRNA and mRNA-like properties.
Source: RNAcentral